RNAcentral lists this long non-coding RNA (743 nucleotides) under Androctonus crassicauda. The record is from RNAcentral. Lineage: Eukaryota; Metazoa; Arthropoda; Arachnida; Scorpiones; Buthidae.
AUUUCUGUCACAACCAAAGUUUUUGUUGUUAUUAAUAAUUUCAAAAUUAAGGAAUAAAAUUUAAAAUUGUAGUUUAUAUUAUUAUUAAUAGAUGACACUAAAUGUUAGCAGUAUGGGGAUAAUAUAUAACUUAACUGAUUUCUUAACACUGCCAAUAUCUGCCAUAGGGACAUCAUACAUUGUUACAUCAUCGUGAAGUCAUGCUUUAAUGUUUUGUGACAUUAUCAAUUGUUACAUUAUGAUGAUGUCAUCACAAUGUCACAAAUUAUUAUGUCAUUGUGAUAUCAUAAUUUUUUAUUUUUUUUUAUCAAUAAAUGAUGUCACUUUUUGCUCAAUAAGAGCAUUAAAUAGUGAGGUAAAACAAGGCUUUCUACAGAUUGCUUAUCCCUGCAGAGUAGUCAGUCAGAUUUUGAAAGACAGGAAUCAAUAGGCCAGACCUGGACUCCUUGAUAAAUUUUUGAGAAAGUGGGAUCUGAGAUUCAAAUACAGGUCCUCCAGAGCAUUUUGUGUUGUCAUUCAUUAUUAUGUCAUGAUGACAUCCUUAUCAUGGUGACAAUUUUUAAUCAUUUAAAAAUAAAUAAUGCUAAAACUGCUAGUUGCCAAUUUAGUCAUUAGUCAUGCACAUGCACAGUUGCUCUAGCUAAUUAAAUUGGCCCAUACUUGUAUAACUAUAUUGAGCAUAUUAGCCUAUACAACUGCUUAUUUUUUUAUGUCACUAUACUUGAAUAUGUAGACCAACAGAU